This 994-nucleotide ribosomal RNA is filed under the name Prevotella denticola. RNAcentral describes it as "bacterial SSU rRNA". It matches the Rfam family "Bacterial small subunit ribosomal RNA", at positions 28 to 1011 of the family's 1533-position model. The record is from RNAcentral. Lineage: Bacteria; Pseudomonadati; Bacteroidota; Bacteroidia; Bacteroidales; Prevotellaceae.
GAUGAACGCUGGCUACAGGCUUAACACAUGCAAGUCGAGGGGAAACGGCAUUGAGUGCUUGCACUGAAUGGACGUCGACCGGCGCACGGGUGAGUAACGCGUAUCCAACCUUCCCGUUACUGCGGGAUAACCUGCCGAAAGGCAGACUAAUACCGCAUGUUCUUCGAUGACGGCAUCAGAUUCGAAGCAAAGAUCCGUCGGUAACGGAGGGGGAUGCGUCUGAUUAGCUAGUUGGCGGGGCGACGGCCCACCAAGGCGACGAUCAGUAGGGGUUCUGAGAGGAAGGUCCCCCACAUUGGAACUGAGACACGGUCCAAACUCCUACGGGAGGCAGCAGUGAGGAAUAUUGGUCAAUGGGCGGAAGCCUGAACCAGCCAAGUAGCGUGCAGGAUGACGGCCCUACGGGUUGUAAACUGCUUUUCAUGCGGGGAUAAAGUGAGGCACGCGUCCCUUUUUGCAGGUACCGCAUGAAUAAGGACCGGCUAAUUCCGUGCCAGCAGCCGCGGUAAUACGGAAGGUCCGGGCGUUAUCCGGAUUUAUUGGGUUUAAAGGGAGCGUAGGCCGGGGAUUAAGUGUGUUGUGAAAUGUAGGCGCCCAACGUCUGACUUGCAGCGCAUACUGGUUCCCUUGAGUACGCGCAACGCCGGCGGAAUUCGUCGUGUAGCGGUGAAAUGCUUAGAUAUGACGAAGAACCCCGAUUGCGAAGGCAGCCGGCGGGAGCGCAACUGACGCUGAAGCUCGAAGGUGCGGGUAUCGAACAGGAUUAGAUACCCUGGUAGUCCGCACGGUAAACGAUGGAUGCCCGCUGUCGGCGCCUUGCGCCGGCGGCCAAGCGAAAGCGUUAAGCAUCCCACCUGGGGAGUACGCCGGCAACGGUGAAACUCAAAGGAAUUGACGGGGGCCCGCACAAGCGGAGGAGCAUGUGGUUUAAUUCGAUGAUACGCGAGGAACCUUACCCGGGCUUGAAUCGCAGGAGAACGAUACAGAGAUGUUG